This 1031-nucleotide ribosomal RNA is filed under the name Burkholderia multivorans. RNAcentral describes it as "bacterial LSU rRNA". It matches the Rfam family "Bacterial large subunit ribosomal RNA", at positions 1 to 1113 of the family's 2925-position model. Lineage: Bacteria; Pseudomonadati; Pseudomonadota; Betaproteobacteria; Burkholderiales; Burkholderiaceae. The record is from RNAcentral.
UGUGAGUGUGUAAGAGCGCAUGGUGGAUGCCUUGGCAUCAGGAGCCGAUGAAGGACGUGGAAAUCUGCGAUAAGCCUCGGGGAGCCGAUAAACGGGCUGUGAUCCGAGGAUGUCCGAAUGGGGGAACCCCGCCGCAUGCGAGUGCGGUGACCCGCACCUGAAUAUAUAGGGUGUGUGGAGGGAACGCGGGGAAGUGAAACAUCUCAGUACCCGUAGGAAGAGAAAAUAAGAAUGAUUCCGGGAGUAGUGGCGAGCGAAACUGGAUGAGCCUAAACCGUGUGCGUGUCAAGCGUGCUGGUGUUGCGUACAUGGUGUUGUGGGGUGUGUGUGUUCGGUUCAGCAUGACCGAGACGCUGAUGAGUGCUUACGUGUAGUCGAAGCUGGUGGGAAACAGUACCGGAGUGGGUGAGAGUCCCGUAGACGAAACGCGUGGCCCCGGUGUGACACGUGUCCCCGAGUAGCACGGAACUCGUGGAAUUCCGUGUGAAUCUGCCAGGACCACCUGGUAAGGCUAAAUACUUCCUGAUGACCGAUAGCGGAUCAGUACCGUGAGGGAAUGGUGAAAAGUACCCCGGGAGGGGAGUGAAAGAGUACCUGAAACCAUGUGCUUNNCAGUCGCGUGUCCUAGACCCGAAGCGGAGUGAUCUAGCCAUGGGCAGGGUGAAGCAGCAGUAAGAUGUUGUGGAGGCCCGCACCCACUUCAGUUGAAAAUGGAGGGGAUGACCUGUGGUUAGGGGUGAAAGGCCAAUCAAACUCUGUGAUAGCUGGUUCUCCCCGAAAUGCAUUUAGGUGCAGCGUUGCGUGGUUCUUGCCGGAGGUAGAGCUACUGGAUGGCUGAUGGGCCCCACCGGGUUACUGACGUCAACUAAACUCCGAAUGCCGGUAAGGUUCAGCGUGGCAGUGAGACAGUGGGGGAUAAGCUUCAUUGUCGAGAGGGAAACAGCCCAGACCAUCAACUAAGGCCCCUAAGCGUGUGCUGAGUGGGAAAGGAUGUUCAGUUGCGAAGACAACCAGGAGGUUGGCUUAGAAGC